Molecule: long non-coding RNA, 403 nt
Organism: Ochotona princeps (American pika)
Lineage: Eukaryota; Metazoa; Chordata; Mammalia; Lagomorpha; Ochotonidae
Exons: 2
Source: RefSeq, a predicted model, not a curated record
UUCAGUGUGGAAGUUCACACUCCAGUCACAAACGUCAUUUGCUGCAUUUGCAAUCUUGUAUUUGCACCCUCGGUAUCCCUGGGUGCUUUGAUUGCUACCUUUGCUAUCCAGAGUUUCAUGUUGCACUUUGUUCUGGGAGCUUUCAACAUGGGACAUCUCUGAGUGGUGGUGUGGCCGCUCCCGCACAGCCUUAGCCUGCAGCCAUCUCCUCGCAGAGGGUCACCUGCGCAGACGAUGAAGCGAUUGCCGAGUGCUGUGCCUUUGUCCAGAUGCCAUCUUGUUCGAUUACUUUUGUCUUUGUUGUUCCUUUUUACUCAAAAUUAUUGUCUUGCAUCCAACAAACUGUAAGAUAAUUACUUGUUUCCACUGUUAUAACCUGUUGCAGUGAAUGUUAUUUCUCAUA